This 492-nucleotide ribosomal RNA is filed under the name uncultured bacterium. RNAcentral's name for it is "partial 16S ribosomal RNA". It matches the Rfam family "Bacterial small subunit ribosomal RNA", at positions 29 to 507 of the family's 1533-position model. The record is from RNAcentral.
AGUGAACGCUGGCGGUAGGCCUAACACAUGCAAGUCGAACGGCAGCACAGUAAGAGCUUGCUCUUACGGUUGGCGAGUGGCGGAUGGGUGAGGAAUACAUCGGAAUCUACUUUUUCGUGGGGGAUAACGUAGGGAAACUUACGCUAAUACCGCAUACGACCUACGGGUGAAAGCAGGGGAUCUUCGGACCUUGCGCGUUUGAAUGAGCCGAUGUCGGAUUAGCUAGUUGGCGGGGUAAAGGCCCACCAAGGCGACGAUCCGUAGCUGGUCUGAGAGGAUGAUCAGCCACACUGGAACUGAGACACGGUCCAGACUCCUACGGGAGGCAGCAGUGGGGAAUAUUGGACAAUGGGCGCAAGCCUGAUCCAGCAAUACCGCGUGAGUGAAGAAGGCCUUCGGGUUGUAAAACCCUGUUGUUGGGAAAGAAAAGCAGCAGGUUAAUACCCCGCUGUUCUGACGGUACCCAAAGAAUAAGCACCGGCUAACUUCGUG